AGUCCACGCCGUAAACGAUGGAAGCCAGCUGUCGGCAAGUUUACUUGUCGGUGGCCCAGCUAACGCAUUAAGCUUCCCGCCUGGGGAGUACGGUCGCAAGAUUAAAACUCAAAGGAAUUGACGGGGGCCCGCACAAGCGGUGGAGCAUGUGGUUUAAUUGAAGCAACGCGCAGAACCUUACCAGCCCUUGACAUCCCGGUCGCGGCCUAGAGAGAUCUAGGUCUUCAGUUCGGCUGGACCGGUGACAGGUGCUGCAUGGCUGUCGUCAG
RNAcentral lists this ribosomal RNA (269 nucleotides) under Mesorhizobium sp. STM 367. RNAcentral's name for it is "partial 16S ribosomal RNA". It matches the Rfam family "Bacterial small subunit ribosomal RNA", at positions 792 to 1058 of the family's 1533-position model. The record is from RNAcentral. Lineage: Bacteria; Pseudomonadati; Pseudomonadota; Alphaproteobacteria; Hyphomicrobiales; Phyllobacteriaceae.